ACGGAGAGUUUGAUCCUGGCUCAGGAUGAACGCUGGCGGCGUGCUUAACACAUGCAAGUCGAACGAACCUUCGGGUUAGUGGCGGACGGGUGAGUAACGCGUGAGAAUCUGCCCUCAGGAGGGGGAUAACAGCUGGAAACGGCUGCUAAUACCCCAUAUGCCGCGAGGUGAAAUGAAUUUCGCCUGAGGAUGAGCUCGCGUCUGAUUAGCUAGUUGGUGUAGGUAAAGGCUCACCAAGGCAUCGAUCAGUAGCUGGUCUGAGAGGAUGAUCAGCCACACUGGGACUGAGACACGGCCCAGACUCCUACGGGAGGCAGCAGUGGGGAAUUUUCCGCAAUGGGCGAAAGCCUGACGGAGCAACGCCGCGUGAGGGAUGAAGGCCUCUGGGCUGUAAACCUCUUUUAUCAAGGAAGAAGAUCUGACGGUACUUGAUGAAUAAGCCACGGCUAAUUCCGUGCCAGCAGCCGCGGUAAUACGGGAGUGGCAAGCGUUAUCCGGAAUUAUUGGGCGUAAAGCGUCCGCAGGCGGCCCAGAAAGUCUGCUGUUAAAACGUGGAGCUUAACUCCAUCAUGGCAGUGGAAACUGUUGGGCUUGAGUGUGGUAGGGGCAGAGGGAAUUCCCGGUGUAGCGGUGAAAUGCGUAGAUAUCGGGAAGAACACCAGUGGCGAAGGCGCUCUGCUGGGCCAUAACUGACGCUCAUGGACGAAAGCCAGGGGAGCGAAAGGGAUUAGAUACCCCUGUAGUCCUGGCCGUAAACGAUGAACACUAGGUGUCGGGGGAAUCGACCCCCUCGGUGUCGUAGCCAACGCGUUAAGUGUUCCGCCUGGGGAGUACGCACGCAAGUGUGAAACUCAAAGGAAUUGACGGGGGCCCGCACAAGCGGUGGAGUAUGUGGUUUAAUUCGAUGCAACGCGAAGAACCUUACCAGGGUUUGACAUCCUGCGAACCUCUUGGAAACGAGAGGGUGCCUUCGGGAACGCAGUGACAGGUGGUGCAUGGCUGUCGUCAGCUCGUGUCGUGAGAUGUUGGGUUAAGUCCCGCAACGAGCGCAACCCACGUCUUUAGUUGCCAGCAUUUAGUUGGGCACUCUAGAGAGACCGCCGGUGAUAAACCGGAGGAAGGUGUGGAUGACGUCAAGUCAUCAUGCCCCUUACAUCCUGGGCUACACACGUACUACAAUGCUACGGACAAAGGGCAGCAAGUUCGCGAGGACAAGCAAAUCCCAUAAACCGUGGCUCAGUUCAGAUCGUAGGCUGCAACUCGCCUACGUGAAGGAGGAAUCGCUAGUAAUCGCAGGUCAGCAUACUGCGGUGAAUACGUUCCCGGGCCUUGUACACACCGCCCGUCACACCAUGGAAGUUGGCCACGCCCGAAGCCGUUACUCCAACCCUUGUGGAGGAGGACGUCGAAGGUGGGGCUGAUGACUGGGGUGAAGUCGUAACAAGGUAUCCGUACCGGAAGGUGCGGAUGGAUCACCUCCUAAC
RNAcentral lists this ribosomal RNA (1484 nucleotides) under Synechococcus sp. KORDI-49. RNAcentral describes it as "bacterial SSU rRNA". It matches the Rfam family "Bacterial small subunit ribosomal RNA". Lineage: Bacteria; Bacillati; Cyanobacteriota; Cyanophyceae; Synechococcales; Synechococcaceae. The record is from RNAcentral.